Molecule: long non-coding RNA, 1922 nt
Organism: Pungitius pungitius (ninespine stickleback)
Lineage: Eukaryota; Metazoa; Chordata; Actinopteri; Perciformes; Gasterosteidae
Exons: 2
Source: RefSeq, a predicted model, not a curated record
GAGACGAGAAGAAGAGUCAAAUUCCUCUAACACAGUGAUGGGUGAACGUGUUACUUUGAGUCUCAGUGAUGUGGAACAUUAUGGCUGAAUAAUGCACCCCGUGACUCACUCUCAACCAAUCAGAGCGCUGGAUUUCAUCUACCACGGUUAUAAUUCAUUUUUUAUUACUCCAUAUCAUAUAUUAAUUACAUUUAUAUUUUCUCUGUUUUUUAACAGUAUUAGUUAUAGUAAUAGUAAUAGUUAUUUUAUUUUUGUCUCAAGCCUUUAUAUUAACUGUUCAUGAAUUGUUAGGUAGUGUUUGUGCAGGUUUAAAUAAGAUAAUAAAUAAAUGUCCUUGUGAUGAUCCUGCUAUCAGGUUUCUGCUUGUUAAACUUUUAUUUUAUUAUUUUAUUUAGUCAUUGAAUACAAAUCCAACCUUGAAUGAAUCAAUUAGUUAAUCCAAGACAGGGUUCUUAUUUGAGCCACUUUGCACUUAAAAAGUUGGGCCCAGAGGUCAAAAAGGUUAAGAACCGCUGGUUUAAUUCCUUACUUUAAAGAAUACACACAGACAGCUUCCUUCAAUAGAAACUACGAUGAUCUGUUUAUUUACUGUAAAGAUCAGUGUCAUCAUCUCCAUGAACGCUGUCACAUUUCAUGUAAUGAAAUAUGUCAAAAGGGUUUUUAUGUUUCCACAUGUUUGCGUUUUCUAAAUGUGUCUACAGCUCAGCUGGGGGUGAAUGUCCCGUGACCUUUGACCUCCCACCUCUAGUGCUCUCAGUAAGUUUAAUAAAAGCUGCGUUAAGCCCACAUUCCCUCAGAAACACGCGCACGCGCACUUGGCCCGGGGGCCGCAGCACCAAACUCCAUUCGAAAAUACCCGAAACAUAGAACCACGGAGGCUUGUUUGCAGACUCCUCUCGGAGCAGCGGGAGGUGGCGACGCUCUGACGGAUCGUUCGGAGACCGCCCGGAGAACCACGGAGCACCGGAAGUCUGCGGGGACGGAGGAGUCCGGACCGUGUGGACUUCAGGAGCUUCGUUUGGACCCCGAUAAACGAACCUUAAAACACGCAUUCAUCCACUCACCACUUCCACAGAUCCCUCCGCGGCUCCGCACUAGAAACAGCAACAUCCACACGGACGGCUUCAUGUUCUCAUUACACUCGCGGACCGGGUUCGCUCGGCUCGGCUCGGCUCGGCUCGGGUCUCCCUCUCCGUCCCCCGGGAGAAGAGGGGGUUGGUCGGCGGUAGUUUGGAGGAUGAGACGCUGAACUCAUGGACGAAAACAAACUGAACUUUGGGAAAAAGUUCAGUUUGUUCUUCGGCAAAAGGACGAAAGCGCAGAAAGUUCGUGUUGUCAAAAGCGAACGCGCUCCUAGCGGGGAGCGUGACGUCAAGCUACGUGCGUGAGGUCACACACCGGAAACGACGCCUUCAAAAUAAAUCCGUUUAAAUUUGAACGGAUUUCUGAUUUUCUGCACUUUGUAUUUCAUUUGUUUCAUAAUUUACAUUUUAAUUGUAAUACUAGUGAUGGAUUUGGAUGUACAACACAUUUUAAUAUUAGUACAUAUUUAAAUUAAUUUACAUGUCUUUAACACAUUAAGAUGUUUAUAUUAGUAUUUUUAUUAACCACAAAGUUAAACGUGAAUUACUGACGUCACCGGAAGUGCUUAGACAUUCAGUCCAGUUUGACGCGGGUUGUUGAUCUCUCCCUCGGGAAAAUGUUGCGUGUUGCGUGCGUGUGAGCGCGUGAGAGAGGGUUCACUGCGCAUGACCACUAGCUGGUGGUGUGACGUCACAGCGUACAGAGUUUAUACACACAUUACACACACAUAUAAUCAAAGACAUCAGAAGAUUUGGAUUCAUUAGCACGUUUUUAUUUCAAUAAAUCAAAUAUGAAAUAAUGUUAUAAUAUAAUGUUAUUGAUUUCAUAAUUUUUAUUGA